CUCCUGCAAGUGUUAAGUGUGAUUGAACAACAGCAUAACACUUUCCUAACCGAUUCCCACAGGUGCAUGCAUUGAGCUGAGGGCUGGGAGAGCACUUUGUUGGGAGCCCCAGUUAAGGGAUUCGUGGUACUCAUGAGGAGCAGAGAUGCAUGAGUCUCCUCGCUGACUUUUCAGGUCCUCUCGCCGUUGUCUGACUCCAUCCUGGCUGAGAAGACGGUGAUUGUCCUGGAUGACCGAGUCGCCAUCGUGGAGCUGGGAGUGCAGCUCGUAGCUGGCAUGUCUCUCUCCCUGCAGCCACACCGAGCAGACAAAAGGGCCAUCGUCUCCACAGCCGCUGCCCUGGAUGUUCUUCUGUCCCCACAGCAGAGUUUCCUGGAAGUGCCCUGCACAUCCCUAAGGCAUACUUGCUCCAUCUAUCCUGUCCCAGUCGUCAAUACACAAUGAUGAGUAGAGUCACUUGCAACCUGCUCACACAGCAGCUUUUAUCAGCUGAAGCCAUUUUUCCCAGUCUUGUCUGGCAAUGCUGGACAUUAGGGAUCAUCUACUUGGGUCCAAAUGGUUAUCAAGGGCUACCUGGAGAAACACAUCCUAGAAAAGCUUCCCUAACCCCAGAGGACUGGCCGACCUAUGAAUAGCAGCUCUAACAGACGCCAGACGGAUGCAAACUGCCUGGAGACUCACCUUUAGCCGCUCUGAAAUGACACCGACCUUCAAAGGUUGAAAUCGGGCACUUUCCAUACAAAGGGCAGAGAUCGCCGACAGUUUUGCUUUCUUAUUAUCUGCUUAAUUUAUACUUUUAUUGAUUCUUGCCCUCAGACAAACAAGAAGGUUUAAACAUGCAUGAUUGGAAAACUCAAAGAAUGCUAGUUUUGUUUGUUUGCCUUUUAGCCAUACAAAAGAAAAAAAAAAAUCAUGGGCUGAGAACAUGGAAAUCUAAGUUAAAAUCCCAGAUUUGGGACAUAUUUUACCCAUAUGAUCUUUGUCAAUAAUAAUAACAGUUGUGAUAACAAUAAUAAUUUAUCUAAGGUCUACCAUGUAGCAGACAACAUGCGAAGACAUUUACGAUCAUUAUCCCAUUCAACAAUUGCAACAACCUUAUGAGGAAUACUCUAUUUUUUUUUUCCAAGAUGGAGUCUUGCUCUGUCACCCAGGCUGGAGUGUAAUGGUGCCAUCUUGGCUCACUGCAACCUCCGCCUCCCGGGUUCAAGCGAUUCUCCUGCCUCAACCUCCCGAGUAGCUGGGAUUAUAGACGCCCGCCAUCACUCCUGGAUAAUUUUUGUAUUUUUAGUAGAGACAGGGUUUUACCAUGUUGGUCAGGCUGGUCUUGAACCCCAGACCUCGUGAUCUGCCUGCCUCGACCUCCCAAAGUGCUGCAAUUAGAGGUGUGAGCCACCCUGCCUGGCCGGAAUACUCUGCUUUUAUCUCCAUUUACAAAUGAGGAGACUGACACUCUGAGAAGGGAAACAGUGGGUCCAUUUCCAUGCAUUGAGAAAGAGAUGGAGCACUGCUUUUUAAUUCACCUGUGUUCUCCAUUUCUCACCACCAGGCCAUAUUCUGACUGGCCUGUGCCCGUCUUGUAAGCAUCUCCUGUACCAACUUCUAAUUAAACCCAUUAAAACUAUUACAUUUGCCACAUUUCCCUAAGGGUCCAAUAAAAUCUCUUAUUAAUUCUUAUUUAACAUCGUGCAGCAUUUAGCUCAAUUCUAGCUCUAUAUUCCAAUUCUUUCAACCUCAGAGAAAUGACUGCAAAACUCAAAUACUUCCCUGUCUGUAUUAUCAUCUGGGAGUUUAGCCAAAUAAUGUCUUUGGAGCUGAGGGAGAUGUGAAUCCAAAAACGUCUAUUGCUUUGUUUAUUUCUACAGAAGACUGAGGAGACUGUUUAAGGAAUGUG
RNAcentral lists this long non-coding RNA (1891 nucleotides) under Homo sapiens (human). RNAcentral describes it as "HSALNT0371563". Lineage: Eukaryota; Metazoa; Chordata; Mammalia; Primates; Hominidae. The record is from RNAcentral.